RNAcentral lists this ribosomal RNA (253 nucleotides) under uncultured bacterium. RNAcentral describes it as "partial 16S ribosomal RNA". It matches the Rfam family "Bacterial small subunit ribosomal RNA", at positions 524 to 776 of the family's 1533-position model. The record is from RNAcentral.
UACAGAGGGUGCAAGCGUUAAUCGGAAUUAUUGGGCGUAAAGGGUGCGUAGGUGGUUAUAUAAGUUAGGUGUGAAAGUCCCGGGCUUAACCUGGGGAUUGCGCUUAAGACUGUAUGGCUAGAGUACUGUAGAGGGAAGUGGAAUUUCCGGUGUAGCGGUGAAAUGCGUAGAUAUCGGAAGGAACACCAGUGGCGAAGGCGACUUUCUGGACAGUUACUGACGCUGAGGCACGAAGGCCAGGGGAGCAAACGGG